GGUGGGCAAGGCCAGGGGUAUAUUAACCCCAGCCUUUGCUCAGGGAGUUCAUUCAGCAGCCGGGCUUUAAUGAGGAGCCUUGCAUCUUUUAGCAUCUCCUGAUCAUCUCAACUGCAGUUUGGCAUUUUUUCACAAGUGUGAUCCAGCCCCGAGAUGAAGCUGCUCUGUGUUGAAGAUGGCUACAGACAGAUAUUCUGUGUGAUGAUGGCCACAGUCUUCAGCUGCAGGCAGUGACCCUAGGUGGUUUGCCUAAAGAGAAGGGAGACUCCUUCAGCUCUCCCUGUGCACCUGGGUGACUUCGGUACAUCAUUUCUUUUCCACGUCAGAGGGACAGGGUGUAAAGCAGAGUUGAACAGAACGGAGGCCAGAGGAGCAGAGCAAGAAGCUGCAGAGCCCUGGGCCCAGGAGGCUCUAGGCACCGGAGGGGAGGUGAUCUGGGUGAGUACCUCUGAGCAAGGGGUUCUGCCACCUUCUCACAGACAGUCCAGUGCUUCAGGGCCCCUGUUGGUAAGAGGUCACUGUGGAGGAGAGGUAGGUAGGAGCUACCCCAGGAAAGCCAUCCUUUCAGGCAGUACCUCAGUCUGUACAUUUGCCUUUGGCUUUUUUACUUUGCAGAGAAUGUGUGCAGCCUCAGAGGGCUGGAGCCACCUGCCAAUUAGGUUUGAUGGUCUUCAUCUGUCCUUGUGAGUAAUCUCCUAGUACUGCGAGGCUCAUCAAUUAAGGCUGGACCUUUUCCAGUUGCAGGUGCCAUCACAUGAAAUGUGAGUGAGGAUGGAAAAGGUUUGUGUGUGUUUGGCAGUGGUUCUAACCUUGUGUUUGUGUUGUUUCAUGUUGUUCUUAGAUAAUUUAAGAUUUAGAAUAAAAAAAAAACCAG
This is a long non-coding RNA of Pseudopipra pipra, 874 nucleotides long. RefSeq lists it as uncharacterized. The record is from RefSeq and is a predicted model, not a curated record. The transcript has 5 exons. Lineage: Eukaryota; Metazoa; Chordata; Aves; Passeriformes; Pipridae.